UGAGGAAUAUUGCACAAUGGGCGCAAGCCUGAUGCAGCAACGCCGCGUGCGGGACGAAGGCCUUCGGGUCGUAAACCGCUUUUCUGGGGGAAGAGCAAGGACGGUACCUCAGGAAUAAGUCUCGGCUAACUACGUGCCAGCAGCCGCGGUAAUACGUAGGGGGCAAGCGUUGUCCGGAUUUACUGGGUGUAAAGGGCGCGCAGGCGGGAUAAAAAGUCAGUGGUGAAAUCCUACAGCUUAACUGUAGAACUGCCUUUGAUACUUUUAUUCUUGAGUUCGGGAGAGAGAGACGGAAUUCCGGGUGUAGUGGUGAAAUACGUAGAUAUCUGGAAGAACACCAGUUGCGAAGGCGGUCUCUUGGUCCGACACUGACGCUGAGGCGCGAAAGCGUGGGGAGCAAACA
RNAcentral lists this ribosomal RNA (403 nucleotides) under uncultured bacterium. RNAcentral describes it as "bacterial SSU rRNA". It matches the Rfam family "Bacterial small subunit ribosomal RNA", at positions 355 to 774 of the family's 1533-position model. The record is from RNAcentral.